GAAGUUAUUUAUUUGUUGGAUUCUCUAAGGCACCGCAUUCAUGAUGAGGAUUGGAAAUAUAUAGUGGAAAUGUGAGUUCAUAUUUCUUUUUUAUUAAGCAUUUAUGUUAAUACAAAACUCAUAUAUAAAAAAAUCAUUAACGUAUGAAGGGCCUUAAGAUUGUUUAAUUCAAACAAGGGAAGGAAAGGUAGAAAAAAGGCUAUGUGGGUAAUAGUAAAGGCUCCUCGACAACAAGAUGCCAAAUAAUGUGGUUACUAUGUGAUGCGAUUUAUGAGACAAAUUGUUGAAGAAGUUGAAAUUAUCGAAAGAGAUUCACUACGAUCUAUAUUCACACAAGCAGAGUAUUCUCGAGAAGAAAUUGAUGAGGUGCGAUCGGAGUUGACAGAAUGUAUACAAGAUCAUAUUUAUGAGUAGGUGGAUACAGGACAGUCGAGAUCAGUACACUAAGGAGCGUCUGGAUUCAGUAAUUGAUCAGUACACUAAGCGUCUGGAUUCAGUAACUACUGUACUAUUUUGAGUAAACAGAUUGUUGGCUACUUCAGUAUUCAGUAUUCAGUAAACAGAUUGUUGGCUAAACAGAUUGUAGCUGUUCAAAACAGAUUUUUUGUGCUCUUUUGUUUUAUAUGUGAAUAUCACUAUAUACUUUGAAACA
This is a long non-coding RNA of Zingiber officinale, 652 nucleotides long. RefSeq lists it as uncharacterized. The record is from RefSeq and is a predicted model, not a curated record. NCBI's taxonomy places the organism in Eukaryota, Viridiplantae, Streptophyta, Magnoliopsida, Zingiberales, Zingiberaceae. The transcript has 4 exons.